Dicentrarchus labrax (European seabass) is the source of this 511-nucleotide long non-coding RNA. RefSeq lists it as uncharacterized. The transcript is spliced from 3 exons. NCBI's taxonomy places the organism in Eukaryota, Metazoa, Chordata, Actinopteri, Moronidae. The record is from RefSeq and is a predicted model, not a curated record.
CAGGUAUGUCGCCGGGCAGGCUGCUAAUGCAUUCCUUCACACACACAACUCAUCAGCAAUCAGACACUCUGGAGUUUCAGGGCUCAAAUCUUUGUGAAUGACAGGAUUGUUCCUCACCUCAUCAUUCUUUCAUCGACACUCUCACACAAUAGGGCUGGUUACUUAAUACACUCAGGCAGCCACAGCACACAUCAUGUUCAGUUCAGAUUGCAGUAAAUGGGAAUUUUCCUCCAGGUUUACCGGUGUCCCCCACCGACACUGGGAAAACAUGCAAACUCCACAUGCAAAGGCUCGGUCCCAGCCAGGAUUGGAUCCCAGGACCUUCUUGCUGUGCGGCAACAGUGCUAACCAUGAGGGCUUUGGAGGGGGUGUGACAUGCAACAAAGGGCCAUGAGUUGGAAUUGAACCUGGGCUGUGAGGACUGAGCUCUGAUAAAUAGCUACCAGGGUGCCUCAAGCAGUUUGUUUUUACACCAUACAAAAAGGAGAAACUAAGAACUACUGACCUGAGC